This 1759-nucleotide long non-coding RNA is filed under the name Equus caballus (horse). Its description in RNAcentral is "lncRNA (ENSECAG00000047684.1)". The record is from RNAcentral. Lineage: Eukaryota; Metazoa; Chordata; Mammalia; Perissodactyla; Equidae.
AGGGCCUCAAGGUUCAACAUAGAGUUACCAUCUGGCCCGGCAAUUUCACUCCUGAGUAUACGCCCGGAAGAACCGAAGACAGGCGUUCUCACAAAAAUCUGUAGAGGAGUGUUCACAGAAGCUCCAUUCACAGCAGACACAAGGUGGACACAGCCCAGUGCCCACGGAGAGAUGAGUGGACAGACAGAAUGCGGUCCAUCCAUCGAUGUCUGUAGGAUAUGUGCAACACGUCCACACCAUGGGCUAUGAUUCAGCCAGGGAAAGGAACGGAGCACUGACACCUGCCACGACGCGGAUGGACCUUGAAAACAUGAUGCUGAGUGAGAGACGCCAGACCCCAAAGGCCACGUACUGUGCGAUUCUUUAUAUGAAACGUCCAGAAUAGGCUAAAAACGGAAGGGUGGAAGACUAGAGCCACAUCCACUGAGCACGAACACGUUUCAGAAGGCCUUCGGAAGGGACAGCCCACUGCAGAGGGACAGGUGGCAGACGCCACUGACGGCGCCCACAUCCCCUCGGCCCCGGGCCCGGGUGCUAGGCACAGCUCCAGGCCAUCGCGCGGCCACCGCAGGCCCCCGCGACCCUUCCCCGAGGACUUGCUCUGCCCACAGGGGCCCCCUUCAACCUUGAGACCCAGGGUGGCCCUCGCUGAGCUGCCCCUGCAUGCGCCGCCAGCGCUGGGGGAGCGGCCUGCUGCCCACACACACCCGCUGCCAGCUCCCAUCGCCGUCCCUCUGCUCUCUCCCCGCGCUGGCCUUCCUGGACCUCCCCCACAGAAAGUGCACCCCGUCCUCUUGGGAUCUGCUCUCAAGGGAACCCGCGCUUAGACGACAUCACCCGUAGAAGGUCUGAAACCACGGAACACCGCGCGACCCGGGGAUCGAGGAGGGCCCGAGGCAGGAAGGCCACCGUCACAGCCGGAGGCAGACGGCGUCGGCGAGUGGAACCCAAAAGCAAAGGCGGGAGGAGGCUGAGACUGGAGCCUUCUGACCUCAGCCAGCUGGAUUUCCAGGUAACAACGGGCUCUGUGUCCUCAGAGUCCCACUCAAGGGGCCAGUGCCUGCCUGCAACAUGCGUGGGACCCCCGUCUCCGGGACCACAGAGGGUGCCUAGAGAAGACCCAGAGUUCAGCGAGUGAGCCCGUCAGCCGCUGGAGUAGGGAGCAGGCGAGCUGUGCGCAGAGAAGCACGACCAAGGCUCGGGCGCUCUCACCAUCGAGACACCACAACCAACACCCUCCUCGCCAUUGCCAUGGCAGUGGUGGCUCGUGGUUCAAGUGCCAAAGGUGGGGACAGGAAAAAGAUCAAGAGGUCAACAUAGAGGACGAUUGUCCUCGUCAACAUCUGUACUGAGAGUGCCCAUGGCGUUGCCGAGCACUCCUCCCGCGGCGGAGGCCCUGCAGACUGCAUCACCGCCUCCGAGUACUUCCCGCCAGAACCAGGGUGACGGGGUCUGGAAAACAACGGCAAGACCUGCCCCAGACGAGUCUCCAUCUCUGAAGUGGAAGCCCUUCGUUCAAGCCAACCGCGUGGGCAGAGCCUCAUCCGCGCGAAAGAUGCAAAGCAGAGAAAGAGAUGGUGAGAAAACCAGGUCUCAGCGCUCGCCGGGGAGCCGUCAGAGGCAGGAAGGCAGGAGCUGGAGCAGAAGAAAGAAGCCACACAGUGACCGGAGCUGCCAGCCAUUGUCCGACGUGGUAGCCUCGGGCCCCCCGUGGCUAGCGAGUCCUUACAAUGGGGCUAGUUCUAUUGCGGAAUCGAAC